This 451-nucleotide ribosomal RNA is filed under the name uncultured bacterium. RNAcentral's name for it is "bacterial SSU rRNA". It matches the Rfam family "Bacterial small subunit ribosomal RNA", at positions 354 to 796 of the family's 1533-position model. The record is from RNAcentral.
GUGGGGAAUAUUGGACAAUGGGCGAAAGCCUGAUCCAGCGACGCCGCGUGAGUGAUGAAGGCCUUCGGGUUGUAAAGCUCUGUCGGGAGGGAAGAAUAGCCAGCUGGCUAAUAUCCAGUUGGUCUGACGGUACCUCCGAAGGAAGCACCGGCUAACUCUGUGCCAGCAGCCGCGGUAAUACAGAGGGUGCAAGCGUUGCUCGGAAUUACUGGGCGUAAAGCGUGAGUAGGCGGCCUGUCAAGUGGGGUGUGAAAGCCCUGGGCUCAACCCAGGAACUGCGCUCCAGACUGUCAGGCUUGAGUGCCGGAGAGGGUGGUGGAAUUCCCGGUGUAGAGGUGAAAUUCGUAGAUAUCGGGAGGAACACCAGUGGCGAAGGCGGCCACCUGGACGGACACUGACGCUGAGUCACGAAAGCGUGGGGAGCAAACAGGAUUAGAAACCCCAGUAGUCC